UCUUUUUUCUUUUUUUUUUUUUUGUACUUUUUGUACUUUUCGUAGAGACAGGGUUUCACUGUGUCACCCAGGUUGGUCUCGAACUCCUGACUUCAAGUGAUCCACCCACCUUGGCCUCCCAAAGUGCUGGGGUUACAGGCGUGAGCCACCAUACCUGGCUUGUUUAAUGGACUGGAAUGAGGUUACGUAUUUUUAGCAAGAAUAGUAUAAAAAUGAUGUUGUGUCCUUCUUCGUACAUCAUAUAAAGGGGUUCAUGAUGUCAAUAUGUCUUAUUAUAUGAUAUUUCACUUGAUCACUUGCUUAGGGUGGUUUAUGCUGGUUUUUUCACUGUAAAGUUACUUAAUUUUUCCCUUGGUAGCAAAUAAGCAUUUUAAGUGAGAUAUGCUGAGACUACGCAAAUUCCGUUUCUCCUCAAAUCGUUGCCCACUAAUUUUAGCACCAAUCUGUGAAUCUUGUCUAUAACAGUUAUUUCCCCAAUGGUGGUUCUGUUUUCCACUUUCCUUUUAUAUGUAUUCUUUGGAAUUCUACUUAAGAAAGAGUUGUCCCUUCUCUCCUAUGUAUUCUUAAAAUUAUUUAUUUAUAUAACUAUGGACUUCUGGCUAUUACGUUAUUCUGUGGGUGAAAAUCCAAUGCUAUCAUUUUUUAUCUUGCUGCUCAAAUUCCUCUGUCUUUGGCCAUGGGAACACAUUUAUGCGGACUCCUAUGUCCUUUUGACAAGCCCAUGUCUUUUUUCUGUGCCUUUCCUUAUUUAUUGGCACUUUAAGAUGUUUCAGGUUUAUUUUGUGUUUGCCCUGCCUGAACUCUGGAAUCAACUGCUUGCUAGGGUGGCUUAGUUCCUUUUAUUGGACAAUGACAUUUAGAAACAAGAUACAGGUGCUGAGUGAGCUUAUUGCUACUGGGCUGUUGCUUUUAGGCCUUAUCAACAGACAGCGCUCAGUAAUAUACGUGUGUAUGCUAACCCAUUUAUAUACAUACAGCUAUAUUUCUGCAUCUGUCUAUCUGUGUGUCUGUGUGUGUGUAUAUAUGUACAUUUAAAAACAUGAGUUACUGCUAGCCUGAUUCCAAUCCAACAUCACAGGGUUCAUGCUGGCCUUCUCCUUUCUGUAUCCAUAACUGUUUCUCCAUCAAUGCGAUACCUCUACUACCCUCCUUUAACUUAGAAGAUAGUUACAUUUCAUAAUAAGCUCUAAACUCAUUCAUGGAUUGAUUUGGAAAUGGAUUUAUUCAUUUAGAAAAUAUUAAUUUGGCAUGUACCACGCUGAAGGCCGUGGGCUCUGGAGUAGAACUCUGGGUGGAUUACAAAGAAAUCUUAGGCCCUGCCCUCAGGUAGUUUAUGGGCUACAAGAAAACAUAUUAAAAGAAUACAGAGAGUAAGGACUGUUUGGAGAAACAACUAAAUUGCUCUGGGAGUGUAGAGGAAGGAGAAAUGCACUCCCAUUGAAAAAAUAAUGAAAGGCUUCAUGGAGAAGCUGUGGAUCUGUAAGGAUGGGGAGGAUAUGGAUCUGUAAAGAUUAGGGGAAAGCACUCAAGGAAAUGGGAAUAGCUUGAGUAAAAGCACAAAAAGGAACAGAAGUAAGGCAAGGCAUGUCAAGGAAACAGAAAAGCUGUGUGUCUGGGUGGGAAAUGGGUCCUGUGAGGGAAGCACGUGGGGACAGCUGGGUCCCGGAGCUCCAUGAACUGCUGGCUGCAGUGGAAUGUGGCCUUGUCUGGUGGGCCGUUGAGAGCCCCUGCAAGUUUGUGAGUAGAGAAGUGACCUGUCAGGAGUGACACAGUGGAACUCAGAAUGGAGGGGGAUUUGGCGGACAGAGAAGAUCUUUGGAGGAGAUAAAUAUUUGGAAGCUACUGAAAUAGUUUAGAAUAUCAGACAGGGUCUGAAUUAGGGCAAGGGCAACAGCUGUGAAGAGGAAGGGAAGUAUAUGAGCAUAAUCAAUUUUGACAACAAAUUUGAUAAGAGCAAGAAAAGAGUCAAAGGUAACUUCAGGAUUUCAAAAGGAGAUAUUAAAAACCAAAGCUAGAAACUAGGAGAUAAGCAAGACGGUGGGAAAGUGUUCAAUAGCCCCCCAAAUGCAGAGUUGAGAUAGAUCGCUUCCCUGUGACUAUUUCAGUGCUCUGUUGUGAGUGGACAAAAAAGGAGGGAAAAAUUAGACUUUAUAUCAAACAGUGCUGUUACUUUUUAGCAGCACUGGAAGUCUCUAGCAGAGGAGAAAACUACACUAAAAAGCAAAAUGAAAUUUCUAGAUGGCAAUGAAAUUGAAUUUAUCUGUGGUUGCGGUUAGCCAUUGGCAUUGAUAAUCACCACACAGCGGUAUUUUCUUUGAAGGUAGAUAGUUAGCACUCUCUAAACUAGAAAUUGCCCCCAUUUUAUCCAUUAUGACUCCGAGGCUUUUACAACAGAGCCAUAUAACUUCAGUCACCAGGGAGUUUUAGAACACUGAAGUUAGAAUGGAACCAUCACCGCUACUCUAUUAAUGUUGUAUCACUAUUCAGAUGCAGUUUAUUGCAGGGAACAGCUUAAACUCAAAUAUACUAGCAUCUAUACAAUCAUGACAACACUUAUUAGUUGGUACAUAACGUAUGGGCAGAGGCUGUGCUUGCCGGAGACUAUCUGUCUUUCAGGCUCAAGAAGCAAUGGCGAGUCAGCUGCUGUCGUGCCACAGUCUCUGUUUAUUAUGUUCUUAUUAUCUUUCUUAUUAUGAAAGGAAAGAGCUAAAUGUGUUCAUGUGUUUGCAGGAUGAUAGACAACUUAACCAUGUCAUAGGGCAACAGGAAGGACAGAAGUGGAGGGAAAAAGAGCAAGCAACUUUUCUUCUAUUCGAUUGGGAAGGAGUUUGGAACUGCAGACCCGUCAGCUAUAAGGAAGUCUGGUGUGAAUGCCCAGCCUUGCCCCAGAGGGGAAUGGGUCCUCACUGAGUACUCCUGCAUCCACCUGCUUUCCCAUCUCCCCGUUUGUACAGAAAAGAAGAUAAAGACAUUAUUUAAUUAUCCUCUUUGGGAUAUGAAAGUACCACGUGGAAGAUGGAGGCCAACUAUUUCUUCUUCAGGAGAGUCAAAAGAACCACAUUGAAGAAGAGGUUCACAACAGAUGCUAAAAAAUCUAAGGGUGCUCAUGGCCUGAAUACGUUUCCAGGCAGAGUUUGUGAGCAGAGUUCACAAAGGUGCGGAUGAAGACCGUUCGCUGGGCUUCACUAGUACAAAGACAGGCUGACAGUGCAAAGACGAAGAGGAACGGUCCCAGCCAUCAGGGAACUCAGCAGCUUGGAAGAUACUAAACAGCCACUCCUCCAGGAUCUUCUAGUUAGGAAAUUGAAGGCUCCGUCAUUGCUAUAGGCAUUUCAAGCUCGGCCAGUAGGCUCUGUAUAUUGACAGAGAUGAGAAAGACUGCUAUAGGUUAUGGCUCGUGUCCCAAGUUGUUGGGAAGGAACCUCUGGUUGCAGCAGGACUGACUGUACAAUUUGUGAGCCCAGUGUGAAAUGAAAAUGCAGGGCCCCUUGAUCAAAAAUUAUAAAAAAAUCUCAAGACAGCGCCAGCAGAGCAUUAAAACAAGCCCCAAGUCCCAGGCGCCACACAGCCUCGCUCUUCUGCAGUUCAGCUCUUCCUUUUACGUUCCUCUUCUGGCUACCUCAUUUAUCCUUCCGUAAACCUUCACUGAUGAGAGAUGUGGUAACCCAAGCAAGUCUAUCGUUCUUGCAACUAAAAUGAACCAGCACACUUAGGACACGACAGGGUUCCUGCUGUCAUUUCUUCCUCUUACCUUGUACCGUCUAAAAAUUGCAGGGAUGUAUUAAAAUGCUUUCUACUCCAUGUUAUUUUAGGUAAUAUUUAAUUAGGUUUUUAUGCUUUAAUACGAUGUCUGAUGUUCUGGAUCGUAUCCUCUAAUUUUUUCUACUAUAAUAAAGUUCCUGACACUAGUUUAGGAUGGACUGCAUCCUCUUCAUCAGAAGCCUUUGUCUUCCUUCUGCCUAAACUUCUGCCCCAGGCUCAACAAUCCUCCUGUGCAGUCUCCUUCCGUAAUCUCCCCUUCUGCAGAAUAAAAAGAACUUUGUAAAAGUA
Long non-coding RNA from Homo sapiens (human), 4050 nucleotides. RefSeq lists it as uncharacterized. NCBI's taxonomy places the organism in Eukaryota, Metazoa, Chordata, Mammalia, Primates, Hominidae. The record is from RefSeq and is a predicted model, not a curated record. The transcript is spliced from 4 exons.